This 458-nucleotide ribosomal RNA is filed under the name uncultured bacterium. RNAcentral describes it as "partial 16S ribosomal RNA". It matches the Rfam family "Bacterial small subunit ribosomal RNA", at positions 338 to 795 of the family's 1533-position model. The record is from RNAcentral.
CCUACGGGUGGCAGCAGUGGGGAAUAUUGCACAAUGGGGGAAACCCUGAUGCAGCGACGCCGCGUGAGUGAAGAAGUAUUUCGGUAUUUACAGCUCUAUCAGCAGGGAAGAAAUAGCGACCUUUGGGUCGCCAGACGGUACCUGACUAAGAAGCCCCUGCUAACUACGUGCCAACAGCCGCGGUAAUACGUAGGGGGCAAGCGUUUUCCGGGUUUACUGGGGGGAAAGGGAGCGUAGACGGCAGCACAAGUCUGAAGUGAAAUGCCGGGGCUUAACCCCGGAACUGCUUUGGAAACUGGGCAGAUAGAGUGCAGGAGAGGUAAGUGGAAUUCCUAGUGUAGCGGUGAAAUGCGUAGAUAUUAGGAGGAACACCAGUGGCGAAGGCGGCUUACUGGACUGUAACUGACGUUGAGGCUCGAAAGCGUGGGGAGCAAACAGGAUUAGAUACCCCGGUAGUC